ACUAAUAUUCCCCUUUUCCUCUCCAACUAAGCGUCAGGCUUGUGCUAGGAGUAGGUACGACAAUAGUGCAACGGGCGGGGUUCGAACCAUCGACCUUUCGGUUUUCAGUCCACUCCCUUACCGGUUGUGCUAUUGAGGCUCAUUAAAUCCAGUAAAGUUGUUAAA
Maniola jurtina (meadow brown) is the source of this 165-nucleotide long non-coding RNA. RefSeq lists it as uncharacterized. NCBI's taxonomy places the organism in Eukaryota, Metazoa, Arthropoda, Insecta, Lepidoptera, Nymphalidae. The transcript has 4 exons. The record is from RefSeq and is a predicted model, not a curated record.